UACAGAGGUGGCAAGCGUUGUUCGGAAUUACUGGGCGUAAAGGGCGCGUAGGCGGUCUUCUAAGUCUUGUGUGAAAUCCCUCGGCUCAACUGAGGAACUGCACGGGAUACUGGAAGACUUGAGUUCGGGAGAGGGAAGCGGAAUUCCGGGUGUAGCGGUGAAAUGCGUAGAUAUCCGGAGGAACACCGGUGGCGAAGGCGGCUUCCUGGACCAGAACUGACGAUCAGGCACGAAAGCGUGGGGAGCAAACAGG
This 253-nucleotide ribosomal RNA is filed under the name uncultured bacterium. RNAcentral's name for it is "partial 16S ribosomal RNA". It matches the Rfam family "Bacterial small subunit ribosomal RNA", at positions 524 to 776 of the family's 1533-position model. The record is from RNAcentral.